Molecule: ribosomal RNA, 253 nt
Filed under: uncultured bacterium
Lineage: Bacteria
Description: partial 16S ribosomal RNA
Rfam family: Bacterial small subunit ribosomal RNA
Source: RNAcentral
UACAGAGGUCUCAAGCGUUAGGCGGAAUCACUGGGCUUAAAGCGUGUGUAGGCGGGUCCGUAAGUACCUUUUGAAAUCCCACGGCUCAACCGUGGAACUGCUUGGUAUACUGCGGGUCUUGAGGCAUCUAGAGGCUACUGGAACAAACGGUGGAGCGGUGAAAUGCGUAGAUAUCGUUUGGAACGCCAAUGGUGAAACCAGGUAGCUGGGGAUGUUCUGACGCUGAGACACGAAAGCCAGGGGAGCAAACGGG